AUUCAAAUAUAAAGUAUUUUUAAACUUUUAUUAAAA
RNAcentral lists this transfer RNA (36 nucleotides) under Apis mellifera (honey bee). RNAcentral's name for it is "partial tRNA-Leu". Lineage: Eukaryota; Metazoa; Arthropoda; Insecta; Hymenoptera; Apidae. The record is from RNAcentral.